UCAAGCCUUCAAGAUACUGGCAAUCCUGGCACAGAGUGUUCUUAUAAAUUCUUCUAUCCUAGUAUAAAAAGAUAUAAAACAUGCAAGUUGUAGUUGGCUUCCAAGGACCAUGACCAGUGUUUUGAUAUUGUCUGAGCAAAUAGGACUGAAACAA
Molecule: long non-coding RNA, 154 nt
Filed under: Cyanistes caeruleus (blue tit)
Lineage: Eukaryota; Metazoa; Chordata; Aves; Passeriformes; Paridae
Description: lncRNA (ENSCCEG00000006775.1)
Source: RNAcentral